UGCUUUCAGUGGUAGAGACAGAGAGAAGGGGAGAGAGAGAGAGAGAGAGAGAGACUGCAAAGCUCUCGAUCAUAGGGUUUUUAGAAAAGAGAAAAAGCAGAUUUUCGAUCUUUUCUAGGGUUUUUAGAGAGACUGAGAUUUUAAUCGGUUCAAGGGUUUUACAGAGAGAGAAAGAGAGACCUCGAUUGUAAUAUAGGGUUUUUCCUCUCUCCUCGAGAAGGUGUCAUAUCUACAGAGUAUGGUGGCUUUUCUUCGUUCCUCUUCUCCCUAUUGCCUCAUCUCAGGAGAAUGGUUGGAAAAUUGCUUCAAAUAAACACAACAAGAUUCUAUUUUCUCCAACAGUAAACUUAUGGAGAUGCCGAUAUCCGAAGAGGCCAGUGAUACUUUUGCAGGUGUACCUAUCAAGAAAAGGAGAUUCCUGAUGGCGCAGUCUUCGUCGCCACCAUCUCCAAUGUCUUCUUCACUGACAGGCGAAACUGAUGUAGCUCCAAACAAACGGUCCAUCUCAGCAUCUGAGUCAACGUGGAUGCCAGUUUAUGGGGGUUCUGCCAAUGUCAAGGGUUAUUCCUUGGAGGAUGGAGGAUGCUUCACCGAUAUCAAGUUAAAGUCUUUGACUAGGAAUGACAGUUCUCUUGGAUUAAGUCUUCAGCAUUCUGAUGUUACAGUUACUGCUAGUGCUGGGGAAGAAAUAAGCAGUAAAAGAAAGCUUAUAAUGGAGGAAAAGUCAGCAUGUCAGAGAAGUACAGAGAACAUUGAGCUGCAAUUAACUCUCAAUGACCCUUUUCGGGAAGAAAAAUCUAUGCCAGGCUAUCAAUCUGCUUUUCAGAAGGUUUCAGGGAAUUCUGAUUCUCUAUUGUCAUUGGGGCAACCUUUCGGGCAAUCUAUAGAAGGUCAAAGUAGUAGAGGGAGCUGUCAGGAUGAAGAGAAAUUGUAUCAGUAUUCACAGCUGCUUGAUGAGAGUUGCUCUGAUGUUCACCAUGACAAGCUAAAAAACCUGGCUUUGAUUGAGGAAGAACAUGAUAUCCAGAAUGAGUGUAGUUUUGCUGAAUCAAAUUCCAAUAGCACUCAUUUACUUGCAAACAGGUUACGUUGGGAUUUAAAUACCAUGAUGGAGACUUGGGAAGGCUCUAUGAGUAGUUCAGCCAUAAACCAUACAGCGGAUGGAACUGGCAUGUUGGGUUCAGGCAGCAUACGUGACAAGGAGCCUGUGAUAUGCCCAGCAGAGACGAUUCUUGGAGAACCCAAAGGGACCUAUGCAACUUCAGCAAAACAGGCACUUGUUGGGAGUGAGGACAGCAUAAGGCUGUCAUGCUCCUCCUUGUUUCCUGAGAAAGACUCUGAUUUCAAGGCUCCCCUUCGUAUACAGCUCAAUCCAUCUCCCAGUUACCUGCCAUCCUUCAGGCAAGGAGCUGCUAGUAAUACAACUAAACUGAAUUCAGUGACUGGGUCAUCUAAUCUGAAUUCUUCGGCAAAUCUAACACCACCAGCAGACAAUAUGAAAUCCGUUGAUUUUAAAUGUGUAAAAUCUGAACCACUUGAAGGUGAUGGUCAGGUAGCCAACAAAAAGGUGGUAAAUCAGAGAACACCAAAACCCGAACCAUCUGAUGGUGGUGGGCAAGUAGGACUCCAGACUGUGCAGGGAAGCAAUAUGAAAUUCAUAGUUUCUGGUGCAGUAAAAUCUGAACCGUUGGAGGAGAGUAGGCGAGAAAUUCCCAAGGCCGUGGAAGGAAUAUCAUGCCAGUCUGAGCAUCAUUCAGAAUUGCCUGUUAGUGGAGAGUUAUCCCAGGAAGCGACUGAAGAUGUUGUCAAGGGCUUGGGUUUAGUUUCCGAAUCUGUGCGACCCAAUCUUAAAGAAUUGCUGCUUGCUGAUCAGAUGGAAGAGAUUGCACAAGUGACCACUUCAGAAGUUUCCAAUCCCAAAUCAUCUAAAUCCAUUUCCACAGAUUCACUUCAUGUAGAUUCAUGCAUGAAUAAUGGGGUAGCUAAAGGUUAUGAGGAUAAGGAGACUAAUAAAACUGCUGAUACCCAAGAAGAUGAUCCUGGUAAGUGUGACCAUGAAUCAGAUGCUUCUCAUGAUGUGAAGGGUCCAAUUAAUACAGUUGGUAAGCGACAGAAGGAUGACAAUGAUUAUGAAGAUGGCGAGGUAAGAGAUCUGUUGGUUCAUAACACCAUUGAGGGUAUUGGUGUUGGUGAUGCAGGAGAAGCAGGGCAUUCGAAUAGUAGCAAAGAUGACCAUUCUCGUGGUAAUGGCGAUGAUCGUGCCACAGUAUCAUCACGUACUAAGGGCAUUGAUAGUAAAACUGAUAAUCCUGGUGAGAAAACCAAUGCUCAUUGCAUUGCAGAACAUGAUAGUGAUCUUAUCAACAAGAAGAUAGAUGAAGAUAAGAGUACAGGGCCGUGUUUGCAUGCAUCUUUGGCCACUGAAGUGCCAACUGCUGCAUCUGGAAAGAAGAGAUCUACUAAGGCGAUUCGGAAGGUUCCAAGGGAUUGCACGGGAAGGAAAGAUGGGUUGAAGAACCUUGAGACAGCAUCCAGUCAGGUGGUUAGUGCAAGCCAACAUCCAGUCACAGAUGAUGUUCAGGUUGACACUGUAAGCCGACGAGAGAAUGUCAAAGUAUCUAACCGAGCAGAAGCAAGCCAUUCUAAUCUUCCCAAAAGGAAGCCAGCUGUGGCAAGUCAAGAAGCAGUUAAAGAUGUCCAUGGUAGAAGCAACUCGAGCCGUAUUAUCAAUUUGCCUCGUGCACGCGAUGAAUCUCCAUCUGCAAGAACGAGAUCUAUACCAGGCAGGUCAUCACCGUUGCAAGCUGGAAAAGCUAGAUUUCCUGACAAGAGUGAUAAACUAAACCACCAGCGAGAUGAAAGCUGCAUGGAUGGUUUCAGGAAAUUUGAAAGAGAGAGAAACCAAGAUCAACCAAUAGGAAAAUCUGAAGCGGAUUUUAUGCAUGGCAGAAGACAGAUCGACAACUCGCUGGAUGCUUUAGGUGGUGGUAGUGAUCCAAAUUGGGAUUAUGCUUCUGAGCACUGUAGUAGUUCAACUGAUUUUCAAUUUCCUAGGCCUAAGAAAGCCACUGCUUUUGCAGCCAUGAUGCGUGAACGAGAUGACUUUGUUAUUGCACCUGAUGGUGCUAUUGUAAGUGCUGCUAGGGCACGGGGGAAGCCUUUAAGUGACGAUAUGCAGUUUUUUCAUCAUCUGACAUCUAGAAGGCGAUCACCUGGAGGUAGAGAUGGUCCCAUGCCACUCGAUGUGCAAAUGGCCCGCAGAUCUAUGAGAGACAUUGGCCGGGACAGGUGCAUUGGUGGAGGUGGCACUGACAUGGUCAUGCUUAGGAAGCCUGGAGGGAGAGGAGGGCCCAUGCCACUUGAUGUGCGAAUGCUCCACAGCCCAAUGAGAGACAUUAGCCCAGAGAGGCGCAUUAGUGGAGGUGGCACUGAUAUGAUAGUACUUGGGCAUCCUGGAGGGAGAGAGGGGCCAAUGCCACUCGGCAUGCGAAUGCCCCGGAGAUCUAUGAGGGACAUUAGCCCAGAUAGAUAUGGCUCUGAUAUGAUUUUUCUCAGACGACAGUCUGCAAGGAGAGAAGGGCCCAUGCCACCCGGUGUGAAAAUGGCCCAUAUGCCGCUUAGAGACAUUAGCCCAGAUAGGUGCAUUGGUGGAGGCGGCCCUGAUAGGGUUGUACUCAAGCACGAAGAAAAGUUUGUUAGGGGUUUACCAGAUAUGAUGCAUCCUUCGUUUCCACGUCCCGAACCUCAACGUAUACCAAAUCCAUUUGCACAGAGAGAGAGGAGCUUGUCACCAAUGCAGAUGAGGGGUCCUUUGCGUGUACCUCGAAUUGGUUCCAAAUCUCCACCGAGAUCCAGAACACGCUCUCCUGAUGGACGCUCAGAACUGAUGAACUGCAGACUCACACGGAAUCUCAGAAUUGAGAGGAUGAGAGUGCCUCCUGAGCAUCCUUGUAUUGCAGAAGAUAUGAUGAUUAGGAGGCAUGGUUCCCCACCUUAUGCAUCUAGAUUGUCUAAUGCUGUAAGAGAUGCAGGUCCGUCAAAGGAACAAGAUCUUCCAAGGCCUCUUCUCCGGAGGAGUCCAUCUGGCAGGGUUGUACAGAGAAUCAAUAGGAGGUUUGACAUGAUAGACCCUCGAGAAAGGGCAGAAGGGGAUGAACACUUGGGACCUUUGUACUCCGAUCGGUUGUUUGAGUUUGUGGGUGAUGACUGUCUUGAUGAGAGACGAAAAUUUAGUGAGAGGCAUGGACCAUUUCGUCCCUGUAGACCUCAUGAUGUUGUUGCUGAUGGUGAUGGAUUAGUUUAUCAUGCGGAAGGUGGUUCUAGACGUAGGGCUUUUCCUGAAGGUGCUGCUGAAUUUCAUGAGAGAGGGGAUUCAAGGGAUGUCGAUGGCCGCAUCAAGUACAGACUAGGAAACCCUAGGAGACCAAGAAGCAUAGAGGAGCAAGAACAUGAUUAUGGGCAUGGUGGGCCAGGAUGUCAUGACCCCAGCUAUGAUCUUGUCCGACUGAAAAAGAGAAGAAACUAGUAAUCUUCUUUUUCAAUGCCACAUGUCCGCCCAUUAUGUUCAAAGUGUAGGAUGGAAGUGGGCAUAAGAGCGGGCCUCCCUUGUGGUUGAUUAAUUAACUUUGUUCUGCUGAUGAAGUUGCUGACUCAUAUCUAUAUAUCUAUAUAUGUGCAGUUUUAAGUGGAGAAUUAUACGGUCGAAGUGGCUGAUUUGGUUUUUAGAUGGAUCAAUAACUUUUAAGAACUACAAGAGAAUUCGGCUCUUUUGGGGUGAGCGUGCAUCUUGGCUUCUCUGUAUCAAUAAAGCAAUCAAAGGUCUCUGUACAUAAAAGCAGAAUACUGUGUGAAAUGGUUGCUGAUUUCAUCCUAAGAUUAAAGAUUGCUGCUUGAUUUCAUCAACAAUCAUGUGAGACUCAGCUGCAAUGUUGAGGUUAUAAAAUUCACAUCUCUGAACUACUGUUAUCUAAACUGGUGCUUGGGCAGAGUGAGAAUGCAAAGUGUACUACUUGGAUGACGCACUGUGGGAAGGCUCUCGUCAAAUCUCUUCAGCAUUAUUCGGUCUUUGAUGCUUCAAUGCGUGAAGGCUCUAGUCAAAUCUCUUCAGCAUUAUACGGUCUUUGAUGCUUGAAUUCGUGGAAUGUGGCAAUCAAGAGCAUUUUAAUGGCCAUUGCUUGUUAUGCUUUAUCUCGAGCAAUAUACACUGUGGCUGCAUUACCUAAUUCAUGGCUAUUUCUUCAGACGGGUCUUCCUGAGACGAGACUACACCAUUUAGAUUGCCAAAUCACCCUCAGUUUGCAGCUGAAGAUGAAGUGGGUUGUACAUUGGGCGAGCCUACUUCAACGUAACGGAAAGAAGUUUGAGCUGUUGCAUGAUCUCUCUGCUUCUUGAUGAUUCAUCCAUACUUUGAAUUGCAAUCCCCCUUUUGAUGGGGGCAUCGAUUCGGUCACCUUUUGAUGCUCUUGCUUUUGCUUCGAUGCUAUGCUCGACUGAUGAUGUGAAAUUGAUGGAACGCCUGUCCCGUGCCCAUCUGAUUGACACAUGGGUUUUGUGUUGAUCUUUGAGCCUUUAAAAUGCUGUGAGCUGGAUUGGGUUGUUAGUGAAGAUCUCUUCUAGGCGAAAUGGGAAACAGAUUUGGGUUUCUGAAGAGUUUGCUUUGAGCACUGCAGGUUUAAGAUGGAAAGUGACGGGCGUGGCCCGCCCCCUCUAGUGAAAUCAUUCCCUUGAUGA
This is an RNA transcript of Magnolia sinica, 5730 nucleotides long. RefSeq lists it as uncharacterized. The record is from RefSeq and is a predicted model, not a curated record. NCBI's taxonomy places the organism in Eukaryota, Viridiplantae, Streptophyta, Magnoliopsida, Magnoliales, Magnoliaceae. The transcript has 5 exons.